GAGGACAGUGAGGCUGUGGCGUUAUCCCAUGUUCCAUCCCAUUAAAAAAAAAAAAAGGACAAUAUUCUGGAGAGUAUGUUCGUACGUGUGUGUUUGGAGACUGCGACGCUUUACGGGAGGAAGCAGAAGGAAAAAAAAAGAUGACUCCUAAUGAACCGCAGAGCGACAGCGACAGCUCCUCGUCCGAGGCGGGCCACGAGACCAGUUUGAGGAUGUGGAGCGUACAGUCAAAGUACACGUGGAAACUUGAUGUUACGGAUAUACACCAGCAGAGGAGGAGGUGGAGCAUGAGUCAGCACUCCCACAUCAAAGGGUGAACAAGUAUGAUUUGUUCUGUGUAGGAAGUGACAGUCGAGCUCCCGGAGAAGAACAACUGCACGUCUUCGAGAUGUGAACGCUCAAAGAAAAUAAAGCACUCCGGAGAA
Long non-coding RNA from Stegastes partitus (bicolor damselfish), 425 nucleotides. RefSeq lists it as uncharacterized. The transcript is spliced from 2 exons. The record is from RefSeq and is a predicted model, not a curated record. NCBI's taxonomy places the organism in Eukaryota, Metazoa, Chordata, Actinopteri, Pomacentridae.